GGAUAUUAUAAAAGAUUCUGAUUUUUGCAGUUAGAUCAUUAAAAUUAUUUCAGUGCUUCUGGAUAAAAUGUGCUUUUAGAAAAGUUGAGACUAUGAGGGUAAAUACUUUAUCUCAGGGAUAAGUUAAUGUUAUAGAAAUAUUUUCUGGUUUUCACAUUCUAAUAUUUUACAAAGAUGUUUUAUUACCUCUAAAUUAGAUAUGUUUAAGUAUAGUUACUGUUUAUGAACAAUUAGCAAUUUUUCCUGGGAUGUGAAACCAUUCCAUCACUAUUCAAAUACUUUUAAUUUUAACUUAAAAAGAAAUAAUAUAAAGACCAAUAUUUGUGCUAAUGAUGAUCAAGUUCUUACUUGAUCGAUCAUAAUUAAUGCAUUUUCACAAGAUUUUUUGGGAGGGGUUCCUAAGAUUUCAGGUCAUCAAAAUAAAGAAAGUUUUCUUUUCCUUAACUUUGAGGUUUUCUAUCUUUGUUUUGUCUCACAACUCCAGCUUUGGCAAUGGCAUCUUGUGGUUAACCUCAAAGUGAGCAUCUU
This 528-nucleotide long non-coding RNA is filed under the name Bos taurus (domestic cattle). Its description in RNAcentral is "long non-coding RNA NONBTAT016520". Lineage: Eukaryota; Metazoa; Chordata; Mammalia; Artiodactyla; Bovidae. The record is from RNAcentral.